AAUUUUAGACAAAACACUAUUAAAAAAGAAGCAAAAUAUCAUUUAAUUUGUAUAUGUGAUUUUCUUAAUGCUGUAUACAGAUUACUACGGGUACACGCGCAAAGAGCAUGCCUACCUACAGUUGUAUCUGAAAGAUCGAUCAAUCAUAAAAUUUAUUUUCGUUUCAACUUCUCAUUUGUAUGGUGUGCAUCUAACAGCACUAGCAUAUCAUCAAACUUCUUUACAGCCUUGCAUGUUUCUUACCGCUUUGUUUUAUCAAGCACUUCGAUAUAUUUUUUUGGGACACCAUACUGUUCAACAAGGUAUCUUGCAAGAUCAUCAAUAACUCCUCCUUGAACCAAAACUUCUUCACCUUUCUUACCUGGAAGUUCUGCCACAGUAGUGCUACAGGCACACUUCUUCUGCAACUCUGAAGCCAGAGUCUCUGCAUCCAACAGAAAUGACUCCAUUCCAGAAAGUUUAGUCACUUUCUUGUUCCCUUGCCUCCGCUCUGUCAUUAUCUGGAUUGGCUUCAAGGCUCCUUUGCGAACAACUGUAUCGUUUCCUCUAGUCACACAAUGAUGUGCUUGCAUCCUACCAAUAAAUGUUUGCCCCAAAUCCUUCUUAUGAAUUUCAGUUGGAUAAGUUGAUCCCUUUUUUAUGGCUCCCUUAAAUAAAGCAUCACAUAGAGUUGCAUCUAACGUCACAGUGGACUUAUUCGAUGGCUUGACAAGAUUUUCUUUCUCAACAUACUGGAACACUAUUCCAGAGGUUUCAGAUGCAGUGUAAAGUCUGCUAGUUUCAGCACCAACAGAAGCGAAAAUGGGAUUUACAUGCACACUUGGUUUAUAAAUCUCAGAAACUUCCAGUGACUUCUGUACCCGUUCUUCAGAAGAAACAUUAUUUGUUGAAGGCCCGGUCUUGUCCACUUUUUUCUUUUCUGGCUUGUAGGACAUGUAGUCUGGAUGAUUUCUAUUAACAUAGAACAGAAUCACCUCUUUCUUAUGUUUAUCUUCUUUCACUGAGAUCAAUCCACCAGAGGCUUUAGCCUGUAGCCACUUGGACAAUUUCUUGUGAGAUGACUUCUUUAUGUCGAGUGUUAUGCCUGGAGGCCUGCAAGGUAGCACGUGACUUGACCAAAAUGUACUUCCAGGGAUGGGCAGGUCUUUCUCUUUAAUUGUCGUAUGUAAUGCUUGUAGAAGGCACUUGUCCAGGAGUGCAUCUACCUCUUCAACACACAAGGAAUGUUGUCCCUCGGUAUUUGAUUCAUCUGCAUAAGUUUCUGCAACCUUCAACUCACUUAGAUCACUAGUAAGCUGCAAAGUAAUUUCAUCUGCUCCGUCAUUCUGUGUAGUAGAAGGCUGACCAACACUUGAUGAAGCUGUAUCAGCAUCAAUCGCUUCUCUCAUGUCUUCAUUGCUAAUCAUAUUUCCUGGGUCAACUGAAGGAUCAACUUCACUUGAAUCAGAUGCCCUACCACUCAAGGAAAGAGCAGGAUCUUCAAACACGACGUCUUCCAGAAAACCAGCAUUUGGUACAUGACAAUUUUCAGCAGAUUCCCAAAGGGUGUCUCGAUAGUAAUGACAUAUUUUUAAGGCCUUUCCACGUAGACCAGCUUUUAAAGCUUCUGUACUACUCAUGGUAGUUGUCCCCACAGCUAUUGCGGCAGGAUUUCCAGGAACCUUCACUGCCCAUGGCUCCCCAGAAGAAAAUGAGGGGAACCCUUCAGUAGGUAUACUGAUACCAGGGAACAUUAAAUCUGCCCCUCCGAGCAUAAAACGAGAAACUUCACCCCCUUUCAGCACAAAAGCAGGCAAAAGUUCUGGGACUCUCCACAGAGCAUAAACUGUAGGGAAAAUAUCACGACCUCGCCCAUCUACGUCAAAGAACAUGGGGCAUUCGCCCUCCAAUCCAUAAACAAGUACCCGAUUUGGAUAUUUCGAAACAGAUAACUCUGCUUUGGGAGGAAGUAUAACGUCGAGAAGAGCAUCAGAGGCAUUGGAGAAACGGUCUCUGAUAGUGCGACGGAGCUUUUUCCGGUCGGCGCCAGAAAGUCGCUGGUGAGACUUGGCGUCCACUGCCUUCUUGAACAUUUUUCUCCUGCUAUUAUGGCG
RNAcentral lists this unclassified non-coding RNA (2093 nucleotides) under Hevea brasiliensis (rubber tree). Lineage: Eukaryota; Viridiplantae; Streptophyta; Magnoliopsida; Malpighiales; Euphorbiaceae. The record is from RNAcentral.